UACGUAGGGUGCGAGCGUUAAUCGGAAUUACUGGGCGUAAAGCGUGCGCAGGCGGCUUUGCAAGACAGAUGUGAAAUCCCCGGGCUCAACCUGGGAACUGCAUUUGUGACUGCAAGGCUAGAGUACGGCAGAGGGGGAUGGAAUUCCGCGUGUAGCAGUGAAAUGCGUAGAUAUGCGGAGGAACACCAAUGGCGAAGGCAAUCCCCUGGGCCUGUCCUGACGCUCAUGCACGAAAGCGUGGGGAGCAAACAGG
This 253-nucleotide ribosomal RNA is filed under the name uncultured bacterium. RNAcentral describes it as "partial 16S ribosomal RNA". It matches the Rfam family "Bacterial small subunit ribosomal RNA", at positions 524 to 776 of the family's 1533-position model. The record is from RNAcentral.